UGGGGAAUAUUGCACAAUGGGGGAAACCCUGAUGCAGCGACGCCGCGUGAACGAAGAAGGUAUUCGUAUCGUAAAGUUCUGUCCUAUGGGAAGAUAAUGACAGUACCAUAGAAGAAAGCUCCGGCUAAAUACGUGCCAGCAGCCGCGGUAAUACGUAUGGAGCGAGCGUUGUCCGGAAUUAUUGGGCGUAAAGGGUACGCAGGCGGUUUAAUAAGUCGAAUGUUAAAGAUCGGGGCUCAACCCCGCAAAGCAUUGGAAACUGAUAAACUUGAGUAGUGGAGAGGAAAGUGGAAUUCCUAGUGUAGUGGGGAAAUACGUAGAUAUUAGGAGGGAUACCAGUAGCGAAGGCGACUUUCUGGACACAAACUGACGCUGAGGUACGAAAGCGUGGGGGGCAAACAGG
RNAcentral lists this ribosomal RNA (403 nucleotides) under bacterium. Its description in RNAcentral is "partial 16S ribosomal RNA". It matches the Rfam family "Bacterial small subunit ribosomal RNA", at positions 355 to 776 of the family's 1533-position model. The record is from RNAcentral.